GUCGUUGCGAUAGUAAUCCUGCUCAGUACGAGAGGAACCGCAGGUUCGGACAUUUGGUUCACGCACUCGAUCGAGCGGCCGGUGGUGCGAAGCUACCAUCCGUGGGAUUAUGCCUGAACGCCUCUAAGAUCGUAUCCUUUCUAGCCAAAGGAGGCAACGAU
Molecule: non-coding RNA, 161 nt
Filed under: Melipona quadrifasciata
Lineage: Eukaryota; Metazoa; Arthropoda; Insecta; Hymenoptera; Apidae
Description: Eukaryotic large subunit ribosomal RNA
Rfam family: Eukaryotic large subunit ribosomal RNA
Source: Rfam by way of RNAcentral